CCUACGGGUGGCUGCAGUGGGGAAUAUUGGACAAUGGGCGAAAGCCUGAUCCAGCCAUGCCGCGUGUGUGAAGAAGGCCUUCGGGUUGUAAAGCACUUUCAGUGGGGAAGAAAGCCUUGGGGCUAAUACCCUCGAGGAAGGACAUCACCCACAGAAGAAGCACCGGCUAACUCCGUGCCAGCAGCCGCGGUAAUACGGAGGGUGCGAGCGUUAAUCGGAAUUACUGGGCGUAAAGCGCGCGUAGGCGGUCUGAUAAGCCGGUUGUGAAAGCCCCGGGCUCAACCUGGGAACGGCAUCCGGAACUGUCAGGCUAGAGUGCAGGAGAGGAGGGUAGAAUUCCCGGUGUAGCGGUGAAAUGCGUAGAGAUCGGGAGGAAUACCAGUGGCGAAGGCGGCCUUCUGGACUGACACUGACGCUGAGGUGCGAAAGCGUGGGUAGCAAACAGGAUUAGAUACCCCUGUAGUC
Molecule: ribosomal RNA, 465 nt
Filed under: Vreelandella stevensii
Lineage: Bacteria; Pseudomonadati; Pseudomonadota; Gammaproteobacteria; Oceanospirillales; Halomonadaceae
Description: partial 16S ribosomal RNA
Rfam family: Bacterial small subunit ribosomal RNA
Source: RNAcentral